This 335-nucleotide ribosomal RNA is filed under the name uncultured soil bacterium. RNAcentral describes it as "bacterial SSU rRNA". It matches the Rfam family "Bacterial small subunit ribosomal RNA", at positions 26 to 373 of the family's 1533-position model. The record is from RNAcentral.
AGAUUGAACGCUGGCGGCAUGCCUAACACAUGCAAGUCGAACGGGAGUAGCAAUACUCUAGUGGCGGACGGGUGAGGAAUACGUAGGAAUUUGCCCUUAAGUGGGGGAUAACCCGGGGAAACCCGGAUUAAUACCGCAUGACCUCGAAAGAGCAAAGUGGGGGAUCGCAAGACCCCACGCUUUUGGAGAAGCCUACGUCGGAUUAGCUAGUUGGUGAGGUAAUGGCUCACCAAGGCGACGAUCCGUAACUGGUCUGAGAGGAUGAUCAGUCACACCGGAACUGAGACACGGUCCGGACUCCGUACGGGAGCAGCAGUGGGGAAUAUUGGACAAGU